This 1450-nucleotide long non-coding RNA is filed under the name Gouania willdenowi (blunt-snouted clingfish). RNAcentral describes it as "lncRNA (ENSGWIG00000022566.1)". The record is from RNAcentral. Lineage: Eukaryota; Metazoa; Chordata; Actinopteri; Blenniiformes; Gobiesocidae.
AGGAGGAGGAGAAGGAGGAGGGAAGUGAAAGUGAAAGUCCAGUUUCUGGCUUCAUGACUUUGCAGACUGAGUUGUGAGGAGCUGCUUCUUUCAUUUCUCUGCAGGAAAUCUUCCUUCUUCUCCCAGGAUUUAAGGAUUUUUCCUCCACCAGAGACACAGAGACACACUGGAAACCUGUGGGAGAAGGACACGGAAACAGUGGAAGCCUGGAUGAUCAAAGCAGCAGCAUGACAUGGAGGACCAUGACUUACACCCUGCUUCUAAUGGUAUUCAUCGCCGCAAUUGACCUGACGAAGGGAAACAUCAAUGAAUAUUUCGAUUUAAAUGACUGGAAAGAACAUCUGACACAGCCAAUUUCACUCAGAAAACCCAAAGAUCCCAAAAACAUCAUAGAGUGUACUUUAGAGCGAGAGUGUGAAACCCGAACUGAACUCCAACACUUUUUGUUUCACCUUUUUGAAGAUAACGAAAGAAAAGAAGGCUCGAAAAUCAAAACUGAAAAGUGCCAAGGGGAAGACUUUAAAAACAUUUCUUUCUAUGACUUCAUAUGUUUAAUUGCCAAAGCAGUCAAUCAGACGGCAGAAGGUUGCCACGACUACGAAACCGUGUGGUGGUUAUAUUCAGGACAACCAUCAAACCUUUACAAUACAGAAGCAACAAUAACAACAACAUUGCCCAGAACAACAACAGCACCAACAACACAACUGACAACAAAGUCAGAAACUACUACACUGUCACUGAGUUCAACCACAGACUAUAGUUCGCCUACGACAACGAAAGAAACCACAGACAAAGGCGGCACAGUCAGAGGUCAAAAAACUGACAGUCAUGCAGAGAAUCCUGGCUUGAAGAUUGUCGUCGUGAUAUCCUUAAUCGGCAAUUUGGUGUUUUUCCUCUUAUUUCUUUACGGAAGAAGGAACACGUUUCACUCUACCAACAGGCCGCUCUCCAGCGUAGGUGAAGCUCAGUCCUUGCAGCUGCUACAGUACAAUAAUUUUGAGAUGAAUAGAGUGGGAAAUGCAGCACCACAUUAAGGAGCGUUGUCUUCUCUGUAGACUCUGAGCACGCCCUUAUCUGUGGACACGGCCCACAACACGUGAAGUUCGACUAUUUUGAAAAAGCAGAAACAAGACCCUGAACAGCUGUGGAUUGUCAAAAACUCUCAGACAAAAUCUCCAAUGUGAAUAUUUAAUGCAAAUAUGAAAACUCUGCUAGUGUCAGUUCACUUAGCUUUGACACAUAUAGCUUAUUCUCUAGCCUGACACGUUUUGGUCACUGGUCCCUCUUUUUAAGCUGUAUGUAGGCUUUAGUUCAAGCUGCUGGCAUUGAUCUUUUUUUUUUUUUUAACCAAAUCUGGCUCUUUGGAGCAUCCUAUUCGGCCUGUAGGAGAAAGUAAAAAUGACUGAGAAAACAUGAAUAAUUGUGUGAAUAAAACCCAACAAUAACUGCA